AAAUGGCAAACAGCAACAUCCCUGCAUCAGUGUUGGACAAGGAUGAAUAUAACUGCUCUGUCCCUGAUAACAAAAAACUACUUUAGAUAUAAGUUAUUCAUGUCAUGUUGUUUUUAUUGACCGCUUGUUAAGGUUAAUGUUGCUGUCUUUGUGAUAUCAGACAUUAUCUUAGCAUGCUUAAUUAUCAUUAUUGCUGGCAACUUGCUAUAACGUCACUUUCGUUACAGAUAGGCUGCAGCCUUGUUCUCCUCACACAAAAAAAAGUUAUAACUGGUAGUUACAUUCAUAUUUCUCCUAUUGUUUACUUAUGCUUUCCAUAACCGGAAACCGCAGUAUGUAGUAGGUACUAGAUACUGCAUACUGUGGUCGCCAGUAGUAUGUAUUAGGCAGUUCUGAAUAAAGCCAAAGGGAUAGCUCCUACAGUGAAAACAUCUCUACCAGUGGACACAUUUCUACCUUGGCACGGUAUAUACAUAUUGCCAACCCUAGUCUAUUGAAUAAUGUGGAGUUGACGCAUCUUUCAUUAAAAAAUAAUGACUCUAGAUUAUUUUUUGUUGUUUUGAUUCAGGAGCAGCAAAAGCCUGCUAAAAGGAAGUACACCAAAAAGCAGCGUCCUCCUGCUCCUGUAGUCACUCCUCCCCCUGUUCAGUCUGAGCCAGCCCCACCCUCACCACCACCUGCUGCAGAGUCUGCAGCAGACGUCAGCCCAGACAGGAGGAUGGAUUACUACUCCGCUAGUCUGUUGGACCAUGAAUACACAGCAGGGCCUGGACCUUUUGGCCCCGGAGGCCCUAGAGGCAGCGGAGCAAUGGCCCCUGGUGUAUUCCUCAGUUCACGUCGACCUUCACUGUCUCCGCAGAACAGCAGCUCUCACUCUGGUGCAUCCCCUGCAGGUUUAGCCAGCCAAGGUACAACAGGAGUCGGUCAAGGGAAACGUCCAAAGAAAGGACUUGCAACAGCAAAACAGAGACUUGGAAAAAUUCUGAAAAUUCACCGUAACGGCAAACUUCUCUUGUGAGAGAUGUUGGAAAUGUAGCGGAAGACUUUUAAGUGGGAAUGAAGAAAAAGGCUUUUGUGGAAGUAGGUCUGAAGAAAAUAGAGAGUGGUCUAUAUUUUGUACUCUAGAUAAAUUUGUUUACUGUUUUCACGGUUAUUGAACUUUAUCUUGUCCUACACCAGUGACCCUGCCUGGCUAAUUAGCAGCCUGUUUUGGCACUCCACUUCCAUAUCCAUCUGCAUAAAGGUGUUUUCACAACUAAUCACUGUAGUGUGCUAGAUGCACGCUUAAUGUUGUAACUCUCAUGAUUGCAUACUAUUUGUCAUUGGGAAAUUGUGACAAGAUGACAGGCGGACAUUGAUUUAACUAGAAUAAUACAUUUUUUUUGUUUUAUUUAGGCUAGGCUAUUUUUAUUGGCUCUAUUUAUGCAAAGACAUUUUACUCUCCAUAUAUUUUUUAAAAGGGAAAGAAGAACAGUACAUUUUCUAGUCAGGUAAAAUGUAAUUCCUGCAUCACCCUCACAAAGAGAGACAGAGUCAUGAAGUUAUAGUGUUGUGUUUAGUUGUCUUUUACCUCAUAAAACACAAUCUUGUGUGGCAUGACAAUUACAGGACACCAAUCUUGACACACAAACAGUGGAUGCACAUGGUUAGCACCCAGUAUUCCACAAGUAUUCAUUAUAUUUGAAGGAAUUUGUCACUGAUUGUCACUGUAGCUCUGCACAUAAUAUAGAAAGCCCUCAACUGAUGCCAAGAGGAACGUCAUAUUCUGAACAUAUUUAUUUAUUUUACAAGGGAGCAUUUAGCCAUCUCUUAGCCUGUUUUAACAUUGUAUGUUUUCACCACCUCAUCUUCUUGGUCCCUAAUUUAAUUAUUUCCAACCACUUACUUCCUGUACAAAAAGUGUAUCCAUUGCUUUGUUAGAAUUUUUUUUUACAGUUUUAAGUUGUCGUUGUAAAUAUUUGUAAUAUUUGUAAUGUAUAUAGCUACAUUGAAAGAGCAGAAGAAUAUUAUGAGAUGAAGAGACUAGUUUCCUGUAAGCUGACAUAAGAUGUGCCCCAAGUGUUGGCAGCAUUUUUGGUCUAGAUCUAGACAUGCUUUCUUUCCACAGAAUGUACUUGUGAUAAAAUGUUGGCAAAACUGUAGAUGUAAUUGUGUGAAAGGUUGUGGAGAUGCAGGAUAUGAAUUGAUAUGUAAAUAUAUGUUGUAAUUUAAGUUCUUUUUAUAGUUCAAAAACUUUGAAAUCUUUCUUAACAUAACGUGUACAUGAUACAUUGCUGUAUUUGGAAAAUAUCUGAAAUAGUUAAUUUUUUUAUAUUUGUACGCAGUAAUUGUCAUGCUUAGUUUGUCAUGCUGUCUUGUCAGUAUAAUAGUGGAAGUGUUCUGGAGAAAAAUGCCCUUGUUUAACAUCAUCCAUUAAGUUUUAUAUUAGUUAUUGUUGAUAUUCACUCUUGUGUUGGUGUAUACUGUGUGUUUUAAACAUGAUGUGUUUAAAUACGACCUGGAACAGAUAAAAAAUACUUUGGGCAAAA
Micropterus dolomieu (smallmouth bass) is the source of this 2528-nucleotide long non-coding RNA. RefSeq lists it as uncharacterized. The record is from RefSeq and is a predicted model, not a curated record. NCBI's taxonomy places the organism in Eukaryota, Metazoa, Chordata, Actinopteri, Centrarchiformes, Centrarchidae. The transcript has 2 exons.